This is a small nuclear RNA of Oryctolagus cuniculus (rabbit), 107 nucleotides long. NCBI's taxonomy places the organism in Eukaryota, Metazoa, Chordata, Mammalia, Lagomorpha, Leporidae. The record is from Ensembl.
GUGCUCACUUCGGCAGCACGUAUACAUAUAUUAGAAUUAUACAGAGAAGAUUAGCAUGACCCCUGCACAAGGAUGACACACAAAAUCAUAAAGUGUUUCCUAGUUUU